CUGUGCCUUCGGGGGCAAGCUUUCCCUCUGGGCAGCUGGAACGGCGCCUUGGCGGCCCGUUCGGGCUGGCGGCGGCGGGUUGGGGAGCCCAGUGGGCUCCCGAGCCGGCACGUCGAUCGAGCUUGCCCUGUCUGAACACCUCCCUUGCUUUUUGCGUACCCCCCGUUUCCUCGGCAGGCUGGCCUGUCCGCAGGACCUUUUUAAACCCGUUGCACUGUCGUCUGCGUCGGAUUUGUAUCAAUGGUUA
This 247-nucleotide unclassified non-coding RNA is filed under the name soil metagenome. RNAcentral describes it as "partial internal transcribed spacer 1". The record is from RNAcentral.